AUUGAACGCUGGCGGCAGGCCUAACACAUGCAAGUCGAACGGUAACAUUUCUAGCUUGCUAGAAGAUGACGAGUGGCGGACGGGUGAGUAAUGCUUGGGAACUUGCCUUUGCGAGGGGGAUAACAGUUGGAAACGACUGCUAAUACCGCAUAAUGUCUACGGACCAAACGGGGCUUCGGCUCCGGCGCAAAGAGAGGCCCAAGUGAGAUUAGCUAGUUGGUAAGGUAACGGCUUACCAAGGCGACGAUCUCUAGCUGUUCUGAGAGGAAGAUCAGCCACACUGGGACUGAGACACGGCCCAGACUCCUACGGGAGGCAGCAGUGGGGAAUAUUGCACAAUGGGGGGAACCCUGAUGCAGCCAUGCCGCGUGUGUGAAGAAGGCC
Molecule: ribosomal RNA, 384 nt
Filed under: uncultured Alteromonas sp.
Lineage: Bacteria; Pseudomonadati; Pseudomonadota; Gammaproteobacteria; Alteromonadales; Alteromonadaceae
Description: bacterial SSU rRNA
Rfam family: Bacterial small subunit ribosomal RNA
Source: RNAcentral